ACAGAUUUCUGUCACUUCAUUGAAUCGAAAGAGAAGUUUUCCUGACAUGAAACCUCAAUAUGAUAACCAUAAAUGACUGAUUGAAUGAUUAUAUAGGUGGUAAAAAACAAAGAUAUCGAUGAUCCUAAUGCGACAAUUUAGAACUUCGGUCCAGGAGAGUUGUCACAGCUUCAAACCAGGAUGACGUAGUCAAUUAUCCCAAACUAUUUAAAAUUGCCUUACUAUCACCACUCACUUUACAAUUAAAAGUAGUGUGAGUUGUCAUCCUGCUGCGUAACAUUAUUCAACCUCGAGUAAUCAAUAUCGUCGCCGAAACCAAUAUAGGACCAACUUAAUUCAAUUUAUACCUUGCCACAAAAACGUGUGGCCGGCUCUGCUAGUACUGUUAUAAAUGUGAACUAUCCUGGAAUAAUCUUUACAAUUUUUAACAUUUUAGUACAGUAGAAUCCGGUUAUUAUGACAUCGAAAGGAAUUGACAAACAUGUCAUAAUAAGCGGACGUCAUACAAAGCGUUUAGUGAAAUGAAAAACUUGUUUUAUGUAAAUAUGUAUGUACUUAAGUAUUUUAAUACAGAAACAUAGUAAUUAAAUAUGUAUACAUACAUAUUAAAUCAAAAUCAAAAUUACACGUAAUCUGUAAUUUUUGUCUGCUUUUGUGUUUUUCAUUUUAUUGUAAAAACAGUCUCUAAUACUAUUGUGUGUAGAAGACAUAGCUAUGGUCAAAGUAUCAUUUUCAAUAUUGCUGUGAACAAAUCAUGAUAAUAAUUCUGCAGCUUUUAAUGCCUCUUCGACUUCUUCUUCCCCAUCACUUUCGAGUUGUUUCUUAGCACUAAUGUUCUGUAUGAUAUUUUCAUUGGUGGGUUCUUCGGAUGUGAGUAGAACGCUAUCGUGAAUCCACCAUGUUUGAAACAGUUACGAAUGAUACUUUGUAACAUUUUAUUCCAGGCAUCAUUAACCAUCAGAAUUGCAUCCAGCACCGUUAUUUUUGUAGAAGAGUUGUUUUCAUUAGCAUCAAGACAGUUAAUCAAUUUGAGCACAAGGUUCUUCCUAAAAUUCGUUUUGAGUGAUCGUAUUAUUCUCUGAUUCAUUGGCUGCAGUAUUGAUGUUGUAUUCGGCGGAAGGAAAGAAAGUGUUAUAGACUAUACAUCAGUAACAUUUGGAUGCGUCGGGCAAUUAUCAACCAGCAAUAGAAUAUUUUUCUUCUUCUUCUUCACCAAAUCACGAUCCCAAUCACGAAGCCAUUUUUCAAAAAGUUCUGACGUCAUCCAAGCUUUACGAUUGUUAGCAUAAUCGACAGCUGCUACCAUGACAGUUAUUCUAUCUUUCGACUACUUACCUCCACUACAAUUUUCACUUUUAAAUUUUAAAGUUUUAUCCGGCAUUAAUUUGUGAAAAAUUCCAGCAUUAAAUAUCUCAUCAUCAGAAAAUUGUCUUCGUAAAUUCGGCCACACAGAUAUCAACCAGUUUGUAGUUGAAUUUUGAUCAACAGAGAAAUUCACCGACAAUUUAUCCCGCCACAAUGUUAUGUCGAACUUUAAAACGACUGAUCCAGCUUGCAGAACAAUUGAAGUCGAUAAUACCAAAACGCGCGGCAAAACCAUUUGCCUUUUCCUGUAGCAUAGGGCCGCUGACAGGUAUUCCUUUGUUUCUCAUGUUUUUAAACCACUGAAUUAAUAAUCAACAUUUUCUUGUGAUUUUCGAAGCCCCUUCGGUUUCAAAACAUUUGAAUUGAACGAUUGCUUAAUGCGGUUCUUGUUUUUAAAAAUCAUUGAGAUUUUCGAAUGACCCACGCCAAAUUCCUUUGCGAGACAUGAGUUAGAUUCUCUAUUUUCUAAUCUACAUAUUAUUGCACCUUUCUCCUCAAUUGUAAAUGCUUUACGUCGUUGUGAUGACAUUUUUUCACAGUAACAAACAAAAAACAAUGCGUGACCGUCAAGCGUCAAAACGACCACGUGUCGAACGGCGUCGGGAAUCAACGAACAUUGCCGGAGGUGUAAAGAAUCAGUUGUCAGUCAUUCUAACCGGACAUAAUUUAUUAAAAAUGGGUCAUAAUAAGCGACAUGUCACUGUAAGCGAAGUCAUUACAUCCGACUUUUUUAUAAAGAAUUUUAUAUGAAAACCAAACUUCGUAGAGUAAUUACGUCAUAGUAACCAGUUGGUCAAUAUAGGCGGAGUCAUAAUAAACGGAUUCUACUGUAUUGUCAUUUGUAAAGUAUAUUUCAAAAUGGUCCGCCAAACAAGUAUUGAAGGGUGCGAGUUAGUCCUAAAUAUUAUAAAAACGGAAAAAGUCAACGCCACGUCGCGUUAUUGGUGAAACUGAGUCAAGGCAUAUCAUUUAACUAUUCGGCAUAUCAUUUAAUGUUAUGUUCUUGAAAAGCGUGUCGCAAAUAAAAUUAAUUUACUCAUCUAUAUAUAUAAAAAUGAAACGCGUUUUCCGUUGUCACGACAUAGCAUGAAAACGGCUGGACCUAUUUCAUUAACUCUUUUUUGUGUGUAUUGAGGGAUUGAGGAUGGUUCUUACGGAGAGAAAAUUUAAAAAAAUUGCCUGAAAAAGUCUAAAAUUCAAAUUUUUCUAAUCUCCCAUACAAACAAUUUGUAUUCUAUAGAUAUAAAAACGAUUUGCUGUUCGUUAGUCUCGCAAAAAAUCGAGAACUGCCACACCGAUCUGGCUAAUUUUAGUCUUGAAAUAUUCGAGAAUGGCCAAGAAAGGUUUAGAAAGUAAGUAAAUAUAGAAAAAUUGCGCGGAAGAUUGCAAUAACAGAACUUUAUAUGAGUUGACAACAAAAUUUAAAAAAAAUAGAAAACAAAAAAUACUAAUAUUUUGAAUGUAGUCAUUGUUGCUUUGUUAAAAUAUUUUUGUCAUUGUACAAUUGUUAAGGAAAGGCUAUGUUUGGGUGCAACCGAACAUUUUAUACUCUCGGAAUUUAUUGAUGUAAUUUUAUUAAGAUAUUACACAUAAUACUGGCCCAUAUAUUCAUUAAGAAGAAUAGAAUAACGAAAAUCAUCAUAUAUUGUAUAUGAGGACCGUGGAAAAUCCUGAAACGAUUUCACUCAUUUUCACUAUCAAAGCAUAACGGGAAUAGGGGCAACUUGGCAACCUGUUAGUAGGCAAACAAAUUGCAAAUCAACGAAACAACAAUUUGCAAUUUCGCCAAAAAUAGCGCUAUAGCGAAGAUUCUCCAGAUAUGCAAGUUGAUAAUUUGGGAAGUACGGCGCAUAAAAAAGCACUUAUUUAUACAUACAAGUGUUUUUGCAACAAGAUCAAACUGCGAUUGUAGAAGCAGUUGCUAGAUAUUGGAAUUGUUAAGGUCACAGUUGACACCUCGAUGGAUUAAUAACAUUUCAAACAUAUUUCUGUCUCUUCUGUCACUUUCCGGACAUAAAACAACAAUAUAAUACCCAUAAUUGGCUAAGUGAACGACCAAUAUUGGUCGCAAAAAACAAAGAUGUCGUUGAUGUCAAUGCGACAAUUUAGAAUUUCGUUACAGGAGAGCUGACACAUAAACUAAUUAGGAUGACGUAGCCAACUAUCCUAAACGAAUUUUAUAAUCAUUGGAAUUGCCUGGAUUAUCACCACUUAAUUUUACAUUUAAAAGUAACAUCAGUUGUCAUCAUGCUGUAUAACAUAAAUCAACCUCGACUUUGGAAUGAACGAAGUGGAAAAAAAUCCUUGGAAAGAACAGUCAUCCCAAAACCACUAGAAGAAUGCUCAGAGAAGCUGAUUUAAAUGGCUGCACACCCCGAAAUAAACCAUACAUCAAUGCUAAAAUUCGAAGUGCGAGGUUGAAGGUUGCACACUAACAGUUAUAUAAGCCUGCAAGCUUCUGGAAUACAAAACCAAUUGCUGAAGUAUAACCGCAAAAUCUACGUAGUACCGUAAAACAUUAUGGAGAGUUUGUAAUGGUGUGGGGAUGCAUGUCGUCUUCUGGUGUCGGGAAUUCGGAAUUCAUCGAUUGUAAUAUGUACAAGAGUGUAUAAUUGGACAUUUUGAAAGGAAAUUUGCUACAAAAUGCGGCGAAAUUAAAUACUUUUGUUAACUUUCGGUACUAUCAAGAUAAAGAUACGAAGCACAUAUUUGGAGUUGUGCAAAGUAGGCUUAUUUGGAACUAUAUACUUACUUUAGUAUUUCAUGUACGGUUGCGUCACUUUGGCUGUGAGCUACUGCAUAUCAACCAAACUUACCACACACAUUCCUUUUAGUCUCCCAUUAUAAAUCAUGAAAAUGCGUGAAAUCGGUUAUAAACCUAAUUUAACAAAUAAAAUUUAAAAUUUGUCUACAUCGGACUAUAACUUUUCAAGGCCCCAAAUAUCGAACAUGAAGAUCUCAAUGUCAAUGAAUACUUCUUUAACGAAAAUAUCGAUAAAUCCCUCAGAUAUUUGAUAGAAAUUAAAAGAGCAUGUUUUUCUUCUAAUAAUGUGUCUGUACCAAAAAUGGUUAAAAUCAGGUGUUUACUUCCCCUAGAACCCAUAUUCCUUAAAUUAAGUUUUUGAACAUCCGGCGGGUAAGGGUUAAAUGAAGUUAACAUAUAUGAUAUUGCAUAUAUUGAAAUGUGUGUCAUGCAACAUAAUGAUCUGAUUCACUUUUUGCAAGUUAGGCAUAGACCUUGGCAAACUUCGCGACCACAACGACCAUGCGAUUAGAUUAAAAUAUUACGUUGUUGAUAUAGUAAAAUAUUGUGACUAAAUUCUUGAUUGCACCUGUUUUAAAUUCUUCAGCAUAUGAAAUCAUAGAGUUUUCUGCCAAAAUGUAUUUCCUUUAUUAUCCGCUUACAUAACAAUCGUUUAUAUUCAUAUUCAUGAGUUAAACUUAAUACUAUGAAUGAUCCUAAUUUAAUUUCUGUUUCAUAUUAUUUUCUCCAACUGGUUAAUGUUGCUUCCUAAUGAGACUUUUAAAUUAAUUUGAUUCAAAACUCUGUACAAUUUAAAGUGUAUAUGUAUAUAAGUAUAUUGAAUUACGUUCUACAAAUUAUUAGUUUAUUUUUUUCUUUUACCAUAAUAACUUUCACUUCGUUUCAUCGCUAAAUUCAUAUGUUAUAGUUUCUUAAUAGUAUUAUGUAUAUUGAUUAUUUAGUAAUUUCUUUUUAAUAUCGAUAAAUCGCGUAAUAUACUACAUCAGCGAUCCAUAUUAAGUUAAAUUAAAUUUCCAUGAUUUGUUCCUUAUUUUAAUAAUAAUAAUUGAAUCAUAUCUCAGUAUCUUAAGCAAAUGAAUUAAAGCAAGUGGUAUUUUCAUAAGUUUUCAAUUUAUUAUACAUUUAUGCAUGCCUGUUAUUUAAAUAGAUGUACAUAUACAUAAAUGCAGAUUACAAGUGUUCUUAUUUUCCUACAAUCGGAGUACCCAUUGAGAGAUCUUUACAUUUCACUAAAUUAAAUCCUAUUUAUAUUUGGGAAAGUAUAAGCAUACAAAUCCAACAUAUCAACGUCAAAUUUAUAUACCAGUAUUUUCGCAUGUAUUUUAAUAGGUGAAAAAGUAAACGUAGUACAGUUAGCAGAAUUUAACACAUUGCAUAUGUAAAAAAAUUAAAUUCUGUUGAUCCUAUAUUCAAACUGCUUUGUGUUUAGAAUGAAUCGCUCAAGAAAAUAAGAACACCUCUAAUACACAAAUUUCCAUAUAUUUUUAUUAUAAUUCUUAAUUCAUUAUUCUACAUUUAUUAGUUGAAUAUGUUAGAAUGUCUGAAUUUAAAUGCAUUUUCGUGUCAAAUGGCGACAUUGCAUCAAGUAUGUCAGUUACAACUAUGUAAAACUGAGUACUCACUACCAUUUAUAUAUGUAUGUAUAUUUCGGGGGUAUGCACAUAAGUAUGUAUUAAAUUUUGAGUAUUCCUCUGGAUAAUUGAUAUUUCCUUAUUAAAACAACUAAGACCUGGGUAUAGAUUUAAAGUAUACAAAAAUUCAUACGUCCUUUUAUUUCAAUGCAAAUAAAACAAAUAAAUAAUGCAAAAUAAAUGCUUUGAAGCUAUAAAAAUAUAAAAAAAGUAUUUGCAUACGUCGCACAUGCGUACGUUUGCACACAACAUGCAUUUUAUAAUAAAAUUUUGUACAUCUCAUAAUUGCAACGAAAUUGGGAUAACUUUGUUUAAUAUUCGUGCAUCUUAAAAUCCAAAACAAUUUAUGCUAAACUAACGCACCAUUGAAAUAUAUUUACAUGUUAUAAUUUCAUUUAGUGUAAUUUUACGGUAAAUUCCCAAGUAAAUUCAAUUUCAAAUAAUUAUCGCAAAUUUACAAUUAAUUGUUUUAUUUUGAAAAAUUUUUUUGUCUAUUCUAAACUACAAUUAAAAAUCCGAAUGGUUAUAAACCCAACAAUAGGAAUGUAUAAUUUAUCAACUGCGC
This is a long non-coding RNA of Zeugodacus cucurbitae (melon fly), 6325 nucleotides long. RefSeq lists it as uncharacterized. The record is from RefSeq and is a predicted model, not a curated record. Lineage: Eukaryota; Metazoa; Arthropoda; Insecta; Diptera; Tephritidae. The transcript has 2 exons.